Molecule: long non-coding RNA, 468 nt
Organism: Zalophus californianus (California sea lion)
Lineage: Eukaryota; Metazoa; Chordata; Mammalia; Carnivora; Otariidae
Exons: 3
Source: RefSeq, a predicted model, not a curated record
GAUGGCAUGAGCACUCAGAUAUGUUAAAUGCUGCUGAGUGGUCAAGUCAUAUGAAGAAGGAGCCAAAAGUGUCCAUUGUGUUUGGCAACAUGGAGGUUACUAGUAUCUUUUACAAGAAGUUUUGGUGGAGUAACGAGGUCAGAAAGUCGUAUGAUGGAUUCCCUGCCAUCUCUCCUGGUCUGAGCUGUAUUUCCCACCAAUCUGGUCAAGGAUUGUCACUGCAGCAAUGUUAGAAUAAAUAAAAUAAUAAACAGAGGAUGAUGUUGUCCCAAAGAUGGAAACACUCAAUUUCCAAUGGUUGCAACUUUCUACAUUGAUCUCCAGUACAGUAGGGACAUCCUGCCAUGCUAUUGAUUUGAGCUUCUUCUCUCCUUGACAGCACUCAGAUGGGCACUGAAGUGCUCCUGUAUGCUCCUUUCUCUGUUUCCAUGGCUACCCAAACCUCUUAGCAAACUUGUUUCAAUAAAA